AUGAAAAUGAUGAUAGAACUGGGACAUGCCUACACUGGGCAGGAAGGUGUGGUGCAGAAAUCCCCAGACGAACGCUGAACAAUCUAGCUCCAGACCUUGAACCAAAACAGCCAUGCAUGGAGCAAGCUUCAGCGAGCUCAGGACCAGCCCUGUGACAAUGCUGCUGAACCACCAGCUUCCCAGCUGGCCACCAUGCAGUGCUGUGGUGUUUGGAUGAUGCUGGGAUUCAAGGAUUCAAGUCAACCAGCAGCACAGAUCAUAAGAAACUGAUGAAGACAAACUGUGAGAAGAAGGUUCUUUUGCCCUACUGGCAGCUGACUCUGGUUGGACAUCAAAAAUUGGCUGACUUGUGUGCUUCCUUAAUUUUUUCCCCUCAUGUUUGAUAUUUUCAGCCUAUGUGACAAAGAAGAACAAGGCAUGUCUGAGUCACAUUAAUGCCCACUACACAUCCUUGGUAUACCACAGCAAGAGGCACAGAAAAGCUGGUUGGACUUCAUUCCUCUAAUCAAAUGUCAGAAAUGUUGUUAAAUGGAAGGUUUGGGGCCCUGUGUGGAACUCUGGAUGAGCAGUUGGAGAAACUGAGACUUGUUAUUCAUCACCAUCCAAGCUUCAGCAGAUUAUAUGGCAAGCACUGGAUGUUUUGCAGAGGGGAUCCUUCAAUCUUGGGAUUCAACUGGACUUUCAAAGCACUGUAGUACUGUUUUGUUGCAUUUUUUUAUGUUAUCCUGGCAUUGUGCCUCUAUCCUACCUGAAAAGACACUCUUGGGUCAGAGGAUUGUGUCCACUCAGCCCAUGGUUUUCUGAAAAGACAGCAAACAGGCCUGACAAUUAAACCUGAGUCAACCAUAAGACCACAAACCUCUAACCCACCCAACCCUAAAGGUUUAAUGGGAUUUGCUUGAGAGCAAAUGGGUUUCAAUAAGGUUCUUUCAGGCUCUUUGGGAAGCAGUGUCUCCAUGCCAUCAGUGUAGCGGCUGUGUGCAACACCUGGAGAAGACAAAAGGCAGAAGUGCCACAUUUUCAUUCUGGGCACAUCCAGAAAAAUCUCGAGGACUUACACAACUCCUCUGGGUGAAGAUAACUGUGUCCUGACCACCGUGGUGCUCCAUCCAUGUCGUGAUUGAACUGUGUUUUUCUUGCUGUGAAGGAAAAAAGAGGAGGCAAGAAGACAAAUAAGAAAGUGGACUCUGAAUGGUUGUUCAAAUGGCCAAAGGGAUCUUCACUACAACUGUAGAAGGUUGGCUGCAGAUGCCUACAGAGCUAGUUGAAACAGAUAAAUGUCAGGCUUUAAGCUGACACAGUGGGACAUUUACUCAAUAAACACUUGGGAACAGCUGCCCA
Molecule: long non-coding RNA, 1341 nt
Filed under: Zonotrichia albicollis (white-throated sparrow)
Lineage: Eukaryota; Metazoa; Chordata; Aves; Passeriformes; Passerellidae
Description: lncRNA (ENSZALG00000016185.1)
Source: RNAcentral